This is a long non-coding RNA of Taeniopygia guttata (zebra finch), 3751 nucleotides long. The record is from Ensembl. Lineage: Eukaryota; Metazoa; Chordata; Aves; Passeriformes; Estrildidae.
GAGAUUUUAUUCCAGGAACAAGUCAGGGACAAGUGCCAAGGGGAAUGGGGUCCGGUUACAAUUUAUAAAGGGUGUGGGUGUGAAAGGGUGGCGACAUGGAAUAACCAGUGGAGACAGAGCACAGUAUGAUUACAUCGUGGGUCAUGACCAGUGGAGAAAAGACAGGGGAGGGGGGAAGGAAGCCUCAGGGGACCAACCAACUGCAAGAACAGGGAUGAUUGACCGAGAACUUUUGAGACCCAGAUGGGGGUGGCUACAAUGACAGGGGAGGUGGGCAGCACAACUUGGAUUGACACAUCUAUUUUAGGGUAAAAAGGAGAGGAACAGGGUGAUUGGCACUCUGAAUGACAGCUAAGUGGCAGGAAAACCUAGGAGUAAGCAACCUGGAAGAAACCAUUAUGAGGGGAAGGAAUAGGGGGUACAAGGAAUAUAGCAACCGAAACUUUCUAACAUUAAACUUCUAACUCAUAACAUCUUGCAAAACACACACCAUCACACCAGAGGUUUGGGCUCUGUCUAAGGCAUGAGGGAGAGGAAGCUGAUAGCCUUCUACAUAGAUGCAAAUUCUUGGAAGAACCAAAUGUAGAAGGAAGACCAACCUAUCACACUGACUUAAAAAAGCAUCUCUGUCUAAAAAUGAUAGAAGCAAGUAUCUCAUGUAAGGCUUUUUCCCUUUCAUAGAUGUCUGCACUCCUGCCUUUACUGUGAAUAUAUUCUUUACCAGGAUUUGUACUGAUUGUUGUUGCCUAGUUCUUCUUAGAAGUGCCUAUCUCCAAGAUGAAGCAAAACUGUGAGUGGGCAGGCCAUGUGCAGAGAUGCAGCACUUGAAAGACCUGUUGUCAGUCACUUCACAGUCUUUUUUUGAGAAAUCCUUGUACAUCAGUGUAUGACAUGGGGAGUGUUCAGUGGGUAGACUUACGUCAUGAAACCAAGAAGUGUUUAUCUUUGCCUCAGUUGGCAGAGGAAGAAACACAAAAACAGCCUGGGAAGCAGGCUGAAGGUAUACAUAUCUCUAAAGCUUACACCAGUUAUCCAGAGGAUGCCAGGGUGUCACAGGUUACCUGAUAGUAAUUGAUGUAGAGUUGUGUUUUUAUGUUCUGUUAUAUUUGUAUUAUGUACUAAGUUUGUUCUAUGUACCCCUGAUUUGCAGUUGGUAUGCUCCUAAAUUUCCCGCCUUCCCUUCACUGUCCAUCACCCCAAUCCUGCUGAUUCAUCCCCCGUCCCCUCCCAGGGUCCCUGUCUGUCAUCCGGCAUCCCUGCCCCACCAUCUAGAAGUUUCCAUCCAGGGUGUUUGGGUGAUUGGGCCCAGCCCUGGGGCCUCUCCCACAUCCCUCUUCCUAUUGGCCAUUCCCAAAGAGCAAGCCACUCCCCUUGAAUUCCCAUUGGCCCAAGUUUUCCCCUGCCCUGUCCUAUAAAACCCUCGGUUUCUCUGUUCAAGGUGCCUUCUCUGGCAGGCACCAACCCAGUUGCUCUGUUCGCGGUGCCUUCUCUGGCAGGCACCAGCCCGGUUGGUUGGUUCCUCGCUUCUGCGUUGUCCCCGUUGGGACUCAAUAAAGAGGAUUUCGGCCCCCAGAGGAGGACUCUCUUCAUUCAUUACGCUGCGGGGUUCUGGCUGCUUCUUUUGACCCAAACAGCGCUCCUCAAAGCCCACAGCGGUCCAGCGAGGGGUGCUGGAGACCUGCCCGCUCUCUCCAUCGCAGAGAGCUAGCGGGGGGCGAGACAGGCUUCAGGGAGAGAACGCGGCAAAUUGAAUUCCUGCAAAUUAGUUGACAGUGGUGUGAAGACUGUGGGAGCCCUGGUGGUAACUCUGUGUAUUAAAGUAGUCACCAAGAAAUCCAAAGUCUGCCAAUAUGGAUAUCAAGUUGCCAAAGUUUUGCAGAUGUUCACUAGAUCACUUUGUUAUGAACAAAAAUAAAAUUUAAACUUUUGGGGAAAUGUAGUUAACAAUUAUAUAUAAGGUUAAAUGUUUUUGGUACAAGUAACAAAGUGUGAUUAGAAGUGUAGUUAACAAUGUAUGAGGUUAAAUGUUGUAGGUACAAGUAACAAAAUGGUGGUUAGUACUGUUGUGCAUGUAUAAAGUGGGAGCGGAACUGGGGAAGAGAUGGGGGUGCCAAUCUUUGUGGAGGGGCAAGGAAGCUUCCAGAGGAAGCUCAGCAAUGGCGAAAUAGACCUAUCACAGCACGGAUCCUGAGCGCCCCUACCAGGAGACAAAAAGAGGCUUUAUAAGGCCAGGGGUCUCUGAUGCCCGGGUCUUUCCGGAGCCGCUUUCCUUGGAAACACCCCUAGGUUACGAUCACUAAGUUGUUGAAACAGUCUCCGGACUAGCCAGAGGCUUUUGCUUCCAGUUGUUCAGUUUGUAAUAAACAGGCUUACUUGUGUUUUAAUCAACUAGCCUUUUUAUUACUUUAAAAUUUUCUUUGUAAGCCUAUCCAUAACAACUUUGAAUUAGCAUUCUGUGUUAUACCACUAUCAGUUUGUUUAUUUGAUCCAAUAUUAGAAUCUGUGUAGCCAGAUUUUGUUGUAUUGUAAAGCCUGAGCUUUUACAAGAAGACUCACAGGCAACGUCAGUUUAAAAGGAAAGAAUAACCUCUAUCCUCCAUCAUUUGUGUUUAAAUCUGCUCAGUAUUUCUAUCUGCUAAGAUCCUUAAAUAGCCAGAUCACUGUCAAAAUGCCCUAUUAAGCUAUGCUUAAGUCCACUAAGUGCGUAACCAAAACUUUGACUUUUUGGCUUUACCAAAAUCUAGGGGAUAUUUUCCUAGCUCAGAAAUGAACUUUGCAUGCACAUAAUCCAAAGUGGAGUUUGCUAGUAAACUGCUGCUAUAAUCCAAACGAAAGUAGUUUUUUUAGGGUCAUGAAAUUGUUUUUUCUAUUAUAAGAAAUUCACUACCAGAUAAUAUUUAAAUGAUCUUAAGUUAAAAGAACGAUUACUGAUUAUUUUUAUUAAGACAUACCAAAUUUUAAUCGUAAGAGUUCGACAAUGGUCCUUUAACAAUACUUGGAUUAAAUAUUUUUAAAAUACAUUGUAAUUUUAAAUACUGUGUCUUGUGAGCAUUUAGAACUGUGUUGAUUUCUUUGUUACAUCUAAAUAUGUGUUAAUGUAGUUUUCAGUAGACUGGGGAGUUGACAUAAAAAUCAGAUGGGAAGUUUUGUUCUGUAAUCUGUCAAGGCUGUUAUGAUGUUAAACAACAGUUUGCACAUAAUUUUUUUUUUCAUGUAUUAUCAUAAUAAAAAUUAUAAUCCUAUGCAGUUAAGUAAUAAUUUCUAGGUAUAUCUCAACACAAGCACUUUUCAUUCUAGAUGGAGUAUACUUACAAGUUGCUGGCAAAAUCUUUUAUGCUUCUGAGAAAGACACUGCAUUAAAAAUGUUUACCCAUUAUACAUGCACUUUGCCUUGUAAGAGCAGUCAUCUCUAGCCAAAGAAAAACAAAAUAAUGCAGCUUUGUUAUGGAGUGUGUGAGGGAGAUAAAGGUGGAGGAAAAGGAGGAUUUAUUAAUAUUUAAUGUUAAAAAUCUAGGUCUCAGCAUUCAACCAACACUGAUCCAAGUUCCUAUUUAUGCAUAUGUAACUUAAAUCAGUAAGCACUACCUCUUGGGUCUAAAAAUUCAACCAUGUAUUAUCCAAAAUACUGCUAGUCCAUCUAAACUCCUUUCACUUUCAAAUUGAAUUAGGAAGUAUAAAAAUGAUCGAGAAGCAAUGAAAAAAAACAUUCAUUAUGUUCUAUUUUAAAUUUAUUUGACGUUAACUAUUACAU